CUUGGCACUGAAGUGGUAAGGUGCCAGCGCCUCUUGAUAGAAAACAUGGAGAAAAAAAAAUAAUCUUUAAAUAACGGCACAAAACUGAGAAAGUCCUCCCAAAGCCUGUCCCAGUGGAAUUGCCCGAGUCUAGCUGGAAGGGCUGAUCUGUCAGAGCAGAGUCUCUGCAGCAGGGGAAGGGCAUUAGCAGCACCGCUUCUUCCUUUUACUGUUCUUCGUUAGCUUCACCACAUCAUUCUGUUGCUGCUGUUGCUGCUUUGCUAAGUUUUCUUUCUUUGCUCGCAGAACUAGCUCUGUAAUGCAAUUAAACAUCUCUUCCACAUUAAUAUUUUCUUUGGCGCUGGUCUCAAACAAUUGGAUCUCCAUCUGCCCAGCAAAUUUAUAGGCAUCUUCUGUUUCUACUACUUUUCGCUCUGGGUCAUCG
This 424-nucleotide long non-coding RNA is filed under the name Gallus gallus (chicken). The record is from RNAcentral. Lineage: Eukaryota; Metazoa; Chordata; Aves; Galliformes; Phasianidae.